Dermacentor andersoni is the source of this 369-nucleotide long non-coding RNA. RefSeq lists it as uncharacterized. NCBI's taxonomy places the organism in Eukaryota, Metazoa, Arthropoda, Arachnida, Ixodida, Ixodidae. The record is from RefSeq and is a predicted model, not a curated record.
CUCACUGGUUGUGGGUCGGACAGCCGCUGGAGGCCGUUGUGACGCUGCCCCCUGACGCGCCACAUCGGCAAAUGUUUUCUUGGGCAGGAUGGGCACGACCGCGAGUACGCGGCGUGCUCCCCAUCACAGUUUACACAGUGGAGAGCAUUCUCACAAGCUUCAGAGGUGUGUUCGUGGGCACUGCACUUCGCACAUGUUUGGCGGCCUCGGCAGCUCUGCGAACUGUGACCGAAGCGCUGGCAUUUGAAACAUCGCAGUGGAUUGGGCACGUACGGCCUGACACGGAGCUUGAUGUACCCGGCCUCGAUUGACUCGGGCAGGACACUUGAACCAAAUGUGAUUAUUAGGUGCUUGGUUUGUAUCUCUUUA